RNAcentral lists this ribosomal RNA (254 nucleotides) under uncultured bacterium. Its description in RNAcentral is "partial 16S ribosomal RNA". It matches the Rfam family "Bacterial small subunit ribosomal RNA", at positions 524 to 777 of the family's 1533-position model. The record is from RNAcentral.
UACGAAGGGGGCUAGCGUUGCUCGGAAUCACUGGGCGUAAAGCGCACGUAGGCGGACUCUUAAGUCAGGGGUGAAAUCCUGGAGCUCAACUCCAGAACUGCCUUUGAUACUGAGAGCCUUGAGUUCGGGAGAGGUGAGUGGAACUGCGAGUGUAGAGGUGAAAUUCGUAGAUAUUCGCAAGAACACCAGUGGCGAAGGCGGCUCACUGGCCCGAUACUGACGCUGAGGUGCGAAAGCGUGGGGAGCAAACAGGG